This is a long non-coding RNA of Marmota monax (woodchuck), 5281 nucleotides long. RefSeq lists it as uncharacterized. NCBI's taxonomy places the organism in Eukaryota, Metazoa, Chordata, Mammalia, Rodentia, Sciuridae. The record is from RefSeq and is a predicted model, not a curated record. The transcript is spliced from 2 exons.
GUGCGCCCCUCUCUUCUUCGUCUCCCUUCCCCCAGCCUGGGGUGCGUCACAAGGGUGUUUUUCUAGACUCAGCUGGAACAAGGUCAUCUGGGCUUUGGAGGGGAAGAGCUGCAAGUGCCCUAGCCAUUCAUCCAUUCGCUAAUGCACUGCAGAAUGUGUGCCAGGCACUGUGCUGGUGUUUGGAAUUCACCAAUGGUGAAGACCGACUUGCUGCCUUCCUGAAGCUGCCAGACCAGUGAGAACCACCAAGCAGGCAAGCAAGGACCCCACAGAGCCCACGUGGAAUCUGUUCUCUCAGAGAAAGGCCUCAAGUCAAGGAGGAGAAGCCACGAUGGCCAUUUUACAGAGGUGGUGGCUUGUCCAAGCCAUAGGGCAAGUACACAGGGAAUCUGAGGCCCCACCUCAGUCGUCAGGCCCUGAGCGCCUGUUCUUGUCUCAUACUUGGGUGGUCCUUGCAGAAAAAUAGGGGCUGAAAGUAAGCUUGCUACCUAAGGGUGACUGGGUGUGGGGUGGGCAAUUAGGCAAGAGAAGAAAUUGAAGACAUUCAAUAGGAAAGGAAGAAGUGAAACUAUCACUGCUGAUAUGAUCACAUGAGUAGGAAGCUAUAAGGAGUCCGUUACAAAACCGUUAGAAUUCAUCGCAGUGUACAAAAACCAACACACACAAAUCAGGAACGUUUCUAUUUGCCAACAAGGAAUUUUGUGAAAAACUAAAUGUAGAGAAAUUAAGAGAACAACUCCAUUUACAAUGGCUACAAAAAAUACUUAGGAAUAAAUUUAACCAAGGAAGAGAAAGACUCGUGUAAUAAAAACAAUGAAAUGUGGAUUAAAGAAGACAGAAGUAAAUGGAAAGAGAUCCCCUGUUCAUGGAUUGGAAUCGGAAUAAUUAAUACAGCUAAAAUCUCCAUAUUUCCCAAUGCGAUCUGCAGUUCAGUGCAACCCCCAUCGAAAUUUCAAUGUCCUUUUUCCUAGAAAUAGAAAAUCAGGUACUUUUCUUUGUAACCUGGGUCUAGUAUUCAGUUUUCUCCUGCUUCUCUCUCUUCUCCCAGUAGGUGGGGCCAUGGGAAGGGCUGGGAAGGGCUGGGAAGGCCCGGAAGUAGAUGUUCUAAGUCCCUGGGCUAAGCCUGGUGGGGUGCACAGAAUGUUCCUUGGCUUCUGCAUCAUCCCCUCUUCCUCCCACCUCCUCCAGCUCCUCUCCAGCCUUCUCACAUUCCAUCUCCCCCUCUUCAUCUUUUGCCUUUUCCUACUCCAUUAAUUUCUUCUUCCUUUCCCACUCAUCUUGCUUUCUCCUUUCCUUCCUCCCCAUUUUUUCUCCCUAUCUUUUAUCUCCCCCCCUCCUUCCCCCUUCUUUUCUUCUUCGAACUAAUUGCUCAAAGGUGAAGACCAGGUCGACUUGUGAAAACCCUGAUCCAUCGCCAUGGUGAUGCUAAUUCAAGCUGAGUUCAAAGGAAAUUGCUCCAGUUAAAACUAACAAGCUGGAGCCGGCGCCCAGCAAGGACCAGUGCCAAGAGGAGCGAGCCUUGAGCCCCAGUGCCCAGAAAAAUAGGAAAACAACCCCAAGGGCCUCUCACACGCCUACUCCUUACCGUGCCCUCCCUUGCAGCCUUCAGGUCUGUCCCAGCCCAGAGCAAAUCUGCAAGGUCUUUGCAGCAAGCCCUCUGUCUCCAGGCCGGACUUCCCAAGCCACGUCAAGCAGCUGGGCAGCCAGCACCAGCUCUGUUUUAAAGCCAUUGCAUAGUCUCCCUCACGCUGCGGUUCUGGGGUUUAACCACCCUUGCUUUGGAGAGUUCUUUACGGUCCACACCAACACUCUGCAUUGCUUUCUAGUAAGGAUAGACUUGGAAGUACCAGGAGCAAAGGAACAAACCCGAAGAGAUGCUUGCUGUGAGUUCGAUGCUGUCCUAAGACUUCAUGAGUGUUUGCUCAAUUUUGUGGGAAAGAUCCCAAUGGAACAAACUGCUAGGAGCCUGGGGUGACUCCAGCAAGGUCUGGCUGGUUUAAAGAACCACAUGGCAGCCCUCAAACUGGGGAGAGAUGCCUCAAAACUGGAAAGAGGAGGGUCUAAGUACCAGUGACAGCCUUCACGGCUUUGCCCCCUCCAGUCCUUCCUUCCUGGCCCCACAGCCUGCAGCUGUGGUGCCUUCCAUCUCAGCACAUGCCACUUGUAGUCUGGUCACCUGCAUGUGGUUCUUCUCUACUCUGAGGGCAGGGUCCAUGCCUUCUUUUUGCACCGAACAAAAUCUGUUCCAAAGCAGGCCGUGGCUCAAUAUUAAUUUCAUGUCUGAAUGCUGAAGGGGAAGGAAUCCUAGAUCCUUGGGAGGUACAAAAAUUUUAGUUCCCUGAGGUCAUGAGACUCUGAAGGAGCUGGGUUAGGGGAGCUCGGCCCCAUGGUACCAACCGCAGACCAGCUGGAGAAUUUUCUGCUGGAUCUUGUAGUUCUGGUCCGUUGGCCAGGCCACCCUGGACACCCUACUCCUUAGCAGCUCUCACCUCUUUGCCUUUGACCUUCCAGAAGACCUCAUUCCUUUGCUCAACACCCAGUUUUGUGUUUUUUUUUUUUUUUUAAAUUUGUAUCUGGGAUGGAACCCAGGGAUACUUUGCCAUGAAGCGACAUCUCUAUUCCUUUUUAUUUUUUAUUCUGAGACAAGUUCUCACUAAGCUGCUGAGGGUCUUGCUAAGUUGCUGAGGCUGGCCUUGAAUUUGCAAUCCUCCUGCCUCAAUCUUCUGAGGUGCUGGGCUUACAGGCGUGUGUUCACUGUGCCAGGCUUUUCAAUUCAAUUUUAUUGUUUUAAUCCCAAGAUAUCUAGUGAUCCUCUAGGAACUAAAGAGGUACUGGUCUAGCAGAGGGAGAAAUUCCUUGAAGGCCAAGACCACAUCUAUGCAACCAUCACCUUCUGGUAACCAAAGCACAUAAAAAUGCUGUGAGCUCACUGGAGGGCGCCACAAUUAAAUGAGAGAGUGACCUGAGGCCUGGCUGCCCCAUGGGAAGGAGCCCGAGGGCUUCAGCUCUGCUUUCCUCAGAUGUGCUCCUCCGCUUUGGGAAGGCUCCUCUGCUCUUUGUUCCUCAGCUUCUCCGAGUGUAACAAAGGAUGCUCAUUGCUCAGCCACCUAGCGCUCCCAGACACGUCAGGAGAGUCAGGAAGCUAAGAAUGUGGGACAGCGUCCCCACCUGCACCAAGGCCAGCAGCGCCUCCCUCCCCAACCCAGGAGGUGGUGAAUUGAGGUUCAAGCCCAACCUAUGUCCUACAGACUGUGGGAUUCCCCCCACGUGCACCCCAACGACUGUCCUGAAGGGGAUUACUGUGCCUGGAUUACAGAGGCCAAGUCCUGCCAGGAGGGAGGAGGAAGUGACUCAGCAGGGGCUGGGAAGGCCGGGCCAGCCUCCCACUCUGGGACAGCUUGCAGGGAGCUUUGUGCUCAGCCCUGUUCCUUUCAUCCCAGCAUCUCAAAGCCCCUUUCAAGCUGGAAGCAGCCCUGGGAGCUGGGUCAUUAUCUCAAUUAACAGGAGAAAGCUGAGGCCCAGGCUGGUGGGGGCAACUUUCUUCUGAAUUAAGCCUGGGCAGCCAGAACUUCCCAGCCCCAGGCUUCUGACCUCACUCCGGGUUGGCUGCAGGGGCCUGCUGUGGAGCAAGCAGGAGGGGGCCGAUUUGCCCUUGCCUGUCACUCCAAGCAAGGAUCAAGGUCUUGCAUGAGGACCUGGAGGGGAUAUUGGCAGUGCUGGAAUUUCCUAGAGAACAGUUCAGUGAUGCCAGGUGCCAUGUGGUGGCACACGCCUGUAAACCCAGAGGCCAGGGAGGCUGAGAGAAGAGGAUUGAGAGUUUGAGGCCAACCUCAGGAAUUUAGCAAAGCUCUAACCAACUUAGUGUGACUCUGCCUUAAAAGAACAAAUAAAAAGGAGUGGAGAUGUAGCUCAGUGGUUAAAUACCUCUAGGUUCAAUCCCUAGUACCCAAAUAAAACAAAACAAAACCAUCAAAACAACAAUAAAAAACCAAAACAUUUCAGUGCCCACCAUCCUCACAGUUGUUGCUCAGGAGGAACUUAUAUAGAACGUGUUUUUCCAAGCCGGAGAGAAGGGCUAAGGUGAGUGAACACAUUCUAGGAGUAGACGCAGUUUGGUUUGGGGAGAUCGUCCCCCCCUGGGGGAAGCAUUACUAAUACCUAGGCUGUGGAGACCCUGAGCCGUAUUAGCCAGCGGAUUCUAUUGAGUUUCUCCCAUCUUCACUGUUAGGAGAUUUAUCCAACAAUUCAACCAAUGAUUGCUGGGCUGCUGUGUACCCAGUCUGAGGCAAACAGCACAGUUCUAAAUCCUGCUCAGGUGCUGCCUGGCUGUGCAAACUUGGGUCCUUAACCUCUCUGAACUUCAACUGCCUCAAAGACUCUUUGGCUCAGUAUCUAGACUGCAGAAGACCCCAACCUACUAACACCCCAACCAUGGGGGACACAGAGUAUAGGGGUUGGCAGGAACCUCCUUCAUGUCCCUCAGGGAACAGGGCAGAUAGAUGACAUGGCGUUCCUCAGGUCACACAACCAGGGAACCUGCGUUGUCAUGAGAAACCUUCAAAGGGAGUGUGUUUGUGCCUUUCUAGGUGGGAUGAGGCGGCUUCGCUGGGUGCUGAGUCAGGGGGAGAGGCUGAGCUCAGCAUGCCGGGAUAAGAAAGGGAGUGUGCAGGUGGGGUGUCGUGGGGAAGCUGGGGCCGAGGAGAACCCAGGAUGUUGCACAAGGAAGAGCGGGAGUGGGGGAAGGGCCACUUUUAUAAGGCAGUGGAAGAGGACAGGUUCAGGCUCCCUGGACGGAGGGCUGCCCGCCCCCGUGAUGAUGCUUCAUACUGCAGGGAUCAAAGCUGUCCUGUGCUCCAUUCCCUGGGAACGGGGAAGAGUGCUGGGGCCACUAACACUCGAGCUUCUCACGGGGGCCUGCUUGAUGUAGCUGCCUCCGUUUCCCUCAUGGCCAGCUCCCGCCCCCGCUUGUUUCUGAAGAGGCCUGUUUUAGCCCAGUUGUCCUCCUGCCGCCUCCAGCUUGGGUGGCUGACUCAGCCCCUGGCUUGAUGUCCAGGGGGCCUGUGGCUGUCCAUCUCAUCAAUGCCAAGCUUCUCUCUCUGGCUUUCACUGGCUUCUGCACAUCAGCCCCCACCUCCAUCUCUCUUUGUCCUGGACAGUGGCUCUGGACUCACCCUAGUUUAUCUGUUCAGUGACCUUGGCAUCUGACUCAAUUUUGUCUUUGGUCUUUGCAUAGACAGACACAGGGCAUGCUUCGGCCCGGCCCCCUUCCCACCCUGUACUU